Molecule: non-coding RNA, 4190 nt
Organism: Bactrocera oleae (olive fruit fly)
Lineage: Eukaryota; Metazoa; Arthropoda; Insecta; Diptera; Tephritidae
Source: RefSeq, a predicted model, not a curated record
CCUAUAUACAAUAUACCGUUAUUUCGAGCCAAAGGCUAUUCAUUAAAGUACAAAGCGUUCGAAUUUAAGCGCAACAAUAGCCAUAUUGUUUGUCAUACGUUUGUAUCUGCUCAUAAGCCAUACCUUUCCAGACACUACUCCACUUAAAACAUUUUUCGUUUUUGUGUGUCGAUUUUGGUUGCCUUUGUUGGAACAUCCCCGGAAUAAUGUCGGCGACAUCAAUCGAUGGCAAUUACUUCCUCUUCGAUGGAACGAAUUGAAUUGUACCAGUGUGUUCGUAUUACAAUAACAAAAACCCAUGCGUAUACAUACUAACAUACAUAUACCGAACCAAAAAUAUUUGAACGAAUGCCUGAACCUUUCCCAGACAACAGCCGGAAUGUGCAACCACAAGCAUAUCUACGGAUAUGUAUAUAUGUAUAUACAAACACAUAAAGAUACACAUACGCCGGAGUCAACCAUGCAUACAUAUCUACCAGCAAUACUGACUUUUACACCAAAAGUAGUUGAUUACAAACUCACAUGCAUUCCCCAUUGGAAGAGUUGAAAAUUGUACCAACAUAGCUACGAGAGCUUGUGUAACUUAAAAAGAGCUAGUGUGUGUGCGUAUGUGUACCUGUGGCGUUCCACCUAUGAUAGCAUGAAAGUGAACAUAACUCGGCAUGAAAAGAAACUAAUUCUAUUGAAUGGAGUUGAAGUGCUACUUUGUGCUUAUGACAUAUGUUACAUGCUACAUACCACACACCGCAUGCCACAUGUCACACGCUGUAUGCUACAUGUGGGAAAAACCAUUUUGGUUGUUGUACAAAGAGCUUGAGGUGUUUGCAUGUGGCUGGCAGUUUUAGUAAUUACUACCCUGGUAAACACAUGCAUAUAUAUAUAUAUAUAUAUAUACCUAUAUAUAUACUCAUCCAGAGAUAGCAGUAAAUUUUUAAGUUUUUAUUCGAAUUCAACUCGAGUAAAAUUUUAAAACUUCCAAAAUUUGUUUGGCAAUGGGAUUAUAAUAUUCUAAGUAUGAAUGUAUUGGUGUUUUAAGGUGAAAAAGCUUUAAAAACCCCUUAUGAAUGAGAAGAGUAAACGUUCGAUAAUGUCAAAGUUAUUUAAGUAUUCGAAUUAUAAGUAAAUAAAGAAGCUGAAAUUAUCCUUCAGUUUUUGAGAUAUCGAUCUGAAAUUAUGCAUACGCCCUUUUCUCCGCAAAAGGCUACUCAUUUGAUGGAAUAAUCGGUAUCGAACUACUAAAGCAUUUAGCUGCCAUACAAACGGAACGAACAAAAUCAAGUCCUUGUAUGGAAAACUUUUUUUAUUUGACUAGACAUCUUCAUGAAAUAUGGCAGGGAUUAUUGCCCAAGGCAAGGCUACUUUCUCCAAAGAUAGUAUUCAGAUCAGACUACUAUAUCUUAUAACUAUCGUACAAACUAAUCAAUCAAUACCAAUACCUUUUUAUACCCUUUUAUACUAUAAAAUAUCACCUGUGAAUGAUAUUAGUGCUUUGGUGCAGACGUAAUUAACGUUUUUUCUUGUUUUUCUCUUACUUUUGCAUUCAAAAAGUUUAAAAAUGUUCAGUCUCCAUUAAGCGAUCUCUGAAAUGAGCAAUUCGGUCCUGAAUUACAGUUUCUAAUAAAAAUUUGCAACCUGACGCCUCCUACCGGGUUUUCGUUCCGUUCUUAACCUUCGCAAAGUGCAAACAACUCUUACUAAAUAAAAUAUUUCCGCAGUUCUAUACAAUAAACUUAAAGCUAUCUAUUUUAUUUUUGUUUUUACCUAGGCAUGCUAUUAAAUAUAAAAUUUAACAAAAAUUCCUUCCUUACUUAUACCGUUAUUGUGCAAUUAGCAAAAUAUGACUAGAAUUUGUUGGUGUGGCAUUUAAUAAGCCAUUAAACGCUAUUACCUCAGUUAAUGACUUACAAACAUUUUUACCUGAACCGUGAAAAGUUGCAAGAACAAAAGUGAAGAAUAAUUCACGAAUAGUUAAUGGAAGUGCUUCCACUACUACACCCAUAAAUAUACGAGAAGCGAGAAAUGAUUCAGGAAUAUGCGUGCAUAAGUUCAGGUAUAAUCGCUAAUCAAAUAUUCAUUUGAAAUGAAUGCCGGCGCAUUGCCAUAAACGCUUUAUGCCUUUGUGCGUGUGUAUGUAUGUGCAACUCAUCUGUUUGUUUGCGAGUUCAAUUAACCUUAUUAUUCGUUAAUUUCCAUUUAAUUGGCAAAUAUGUAUGUAAGCAAGUUGGCAGCUGGCAAACGAAGAAGCUGACGAACUGACUGACUGAUUGGCAGACAGUUGAAAAAUACCCAGUGGAGCUGUUGCAGGCUGACUGAAGUGUGAACAAUAUCAAUCUGCCACGUGGUGCAAUCAAGCAUAGUUACCUGUCUAUUAUUAAUUGGCGCUGCCAAAAUAUUAUUGAGUACAUAUUACAUAUAUGGAUGGAAGAGAAAACUGUGCACGGAAAGUGCGUAUGUGCAACUUAUUAGAAUGUGUGAACCAGAGUUCGAGAGCUACAGUGACGGGAAGAAACGAUUUACUCAUAGAAGUUGGAGCAGAAGUUUAUUUUAAUACUUGGCUGUUGCAAUCAGCUCUUGGUUUAGGCACAAAAUGCUUAUAUGUAGGCUUUCUCAGCAAGUUGGUUAGAGCGUAAGGAGACUAGAGUUACAAAAUUGAUGGAGUGAUCCGUCCUAAAAUCCCUGCUCAUUUGGUUAUACACAUGUGUAAUUAUAAUCGACUGCGUGCAAUACAUAUACAUAUCUGUAGUCGCACGCAUAAUUCGGUUAUGUCCGCAUAAUUUCUGUGAUAAAGUUUAUGUGUGUAUAUCGUCGCACCAGUUUCAAAUUACCGUAAUUACAUCAACUGUCAACAAAGUUUGGACAAACCAGUCAAAAGAGAUUAAUGUCCAUAUAGUAAACUGACAUGGCAAUGAUAGCUAAGUUCACGAGACGUUAUGGCUAGAUGAUACAUACUGUAUAAAAUAAUUAAUUAUAUAUAUUAAUAUAUAUUUAUAAAAAUAUACAUAUGUAUUAGGUUUUAUAAAAGGAAUCUAUUAUUUUUCCAAUAGAUGGCUGUAUAAUUUUGUAAAAAAAAAUCUGUCCGACGUUUUUGUGAUUGCUUGACUCGAUGAUAGCGAAAUCGCAAGCUAGUUAGCUUAAAAUGUGAACAGUCUUCAUGGUCCUGAUAGUGUAGCUGUCAAACGGUCGUGGUCGAAUCGCGUUGAACCUAUGCAAACUGUGACCAUGCCAGUAUUGACGACCAGAAUGAGUUUGCUGUGCAUUUGAUGGCGUUGGCAGACAGUACUGUCAACAUUUGAACCAUCUGAAGUAAGACAUCGCCCAAAAGUGGACAGCUUGAGCCAACAGCAGAGAAAUUUCAUUCCAUUAGGGUAACACUAGGUCACACCCAUCGAUAGUGGCUCGUCAGGAGCUCCGGGAGUUUGGUUGGGAUGUUCUUUUGCAUCCCCUUAUAGUAAUUACUAUCCGUUCCCUGUCUGUGGUGAAUCAUUUUGCUUGCGAAAAAUGCGACCCAAGAGAAGCUUGUGAAAAUCGACUUUGGUAGUUUUUUUUUGCCAAUAGGCACUAGGGUUUUCUAUGAGAGUGGCAUUAUAUAAUUAUAUUUAAAAUGACAAGAAGUUAUCGAAGAAAACAGUGCAUAUUUCACAUAAAUCGGACAAUGCUAAAUACAGCCUUAACUUUAGUGCAAAAACAAUGGAUUUCUUUUUACUAGAUCUUUUGAACAUAAUAAAUAAAAAAAGGAAACAUUUUUAGCAUUGAACUUGAAAAUGUUUAUCAUACGCCAUGUAGUCAAUCCUGCUCUCUCCAGGUUAGUAUGAAAUGUCAUAAGAAUAUUAGUUUAUAAACAAUAUGUCUCUUGAAUAUGGGUUAUACUAGGUAAAUUAUAGAAUAGUGUGUGCAAAAAGUGCUAAAACUAUGCUUCAAUGCAACAUUGAGCGAUAUUUGAACAACAUAUUACUCAUACGCAGCGACAUCUCGUGAUUGUAAUUGGUUAACUUUAGUUGUAUUAACUGGUACAAUAUAAAUUACUAUUAUUUUAUAUGUGAAAAUUUUUUAAUGUAGCAGAGAGAUAAGAAAGAUGGUAGAGUUAAUUCACUACCGAGUGGGGAAAAGUAAAUAUAAUUAAUUAUUUUGUCCUAUUUGCUACCAGGUCAGAAUGAUGAGUGCUGCAAAAUGCCAUAUAUAUAUAGUAGUUU